UGAGCAAUCUGCCCUUCUCUUCGGAAUAAGCGUUGGAAACGACGUCUAAUGCCGAAUACGACCUCCUUUCGCAUGAUCGGAGAUGGAAAGCUCCGGCGGAGAAGGAUGAGCUCGCGGCCUAUCAGCUAGUUGGUGUGGGUAAUGGCCCACCAAGGCGACGACGGGUAGCCGGCCUGAGAGGGUGACCGGCCACACUGGGACUGAGACACGGCCCAGACCUCCGUACGGGAGCAG
RNAcentral lists this ribosomal RNA (234 nucleotides) under uncultured bacterium. RNAcentral describes it as "partial 16S ribosomal RNA". It matches the Rfam family "Bacterial small subunit ribosomal RNA", at positions 118 to 347 of the family's 1533-position model. The record is from RNAcentral.